Molecule: ribosomal RNA, 545 nt
Filed under: uncultured bacterium
Lineage: Bacteria
Description: partial 16S ribosomal RNA
Rfam family: Bacterial small subunit ribosomal RNA
Source: RNAcentral
UGGGGAAUAUUGCACAAUGGGCGAAAGCCUGAUGUAGCAACGCCGCGUGAGUGAUGAAGGUCUUCGGAUUGUAAAGCUCUGUCUUUUGGGACGAUAAUGACGGUACCAAAGGAGGAAGCCACGGCUAACUACGUGCCAGCAGCCGCGGUAAUACGUAGGUGGCGAGCGUUGUCCGGAUUUACUGGGCGUAAAGGGUGCGUAGGCGGAUGUUUAAGUGAGAUGUGAAAUACCCGGGCUUAACUUGGGUGCUGCAUUUCAAACUGGAUAUCUAGAGUGCAGGAGAGGAGAAUGGAAUUCCUAGUGUAGCGGUGAAAUGCGUAGAGAUUAGGAAGAACACCAGUGGCGAAGGCGAUUCUCUGGACUGUAACUGACGCUGAGGCACGAAAGCGUGGGUAGCAAACAGGAUUAGAUACCCUGGUAGUCCACGCCGUAAACGAUGAGUACUAGGUGUAGGAGGUAUCGACCCCUUCUGUGCCGCAGUAAACACAUUAAGUACUCCGCCUGGGAAGUACGAUCGCAAGAUUAAAACUCUAAAGUGAAUUGAC